UUGGUUUAGCUCGCGGACUUUGUGCAUUCAAUGUUCUGCAUUACGAAGAGUGAUUUUACUAUAAUUUGUCAAUUAAUUUAAAAUCCCAAGUAUCAACUGAUUCUUAAAUGUAAAUCUGCAGGUUUGAAUUUUCCAUCGCCUAAUCGUUGUGGCAUUAAAUACUGAUUAAAACAAAUAUGUAAAAUAUAUCAACAUCAUCAUUAAGACUAAUUUGAAAAACAUCGUAUUAGUUGGAAGAAUUUUUUUUUUCACGAAUGCAAAGUGAUUUAAAACAUAGUAAAGCUGACGUGAUACUUCCUAUUUCAACGGUAAAAUUAUGGGGCUUGCCAAUUUUGUUCUGGAGUUCGCUGCUGCGGUGAUUGCAAUCACUUUAGCUGCGUGCGUCUACUUAAAGUAUGUGACCUUCAACUACUGGAGUUGGAAAGACGUUGAUUACGUCAAACCGGUUGUGCCUAUUGGCAACAUGGGACCGGUCUUUGCCGGAAAACGCUCAUUUGGUGAAGUGAUCCGCGACUCUUACUUGGACUUGAAGAAUAGCCGAAUUUUUGGCAUCUUCAUGUUCCAUCAGCCGGUUCUUGUUGUUGCGGAUCCGGACUUGAUCCGCGUGGUCCUCACAAAAGAAUUCGCGCAUUUCCACGACCGUGGUAUAUACUGCAAUGAAGAGUCCGAUCCGUUAUCGGGUCACCUCUUCUCGAUUGCCGGCAGCAAGUGGAGAUUCUUGAGAAACAAGUUGUCCCCCGUUUUUACCGCGAGCAAAAUGAAACAGAUGUUCUUCACCAUCAAGGAAAUCUCCGAAACCCUGACUCAGCGCGUUGCAAAAGACGCCGAGAACUCAGAGCUCAUCGAGGUCAAAGAACUCAUGGCAAGGUUCUCCACCGAUGUGAUCGCCUCGGUCGCUUUCGACAUAAAAUGCAACAGCCUUGAGAAUAAAGAGGCAGAAUUCCGGACGAUGGGUCGCAAGGUCUUCGAGCGACGAAUACUAGUUAACGUGCUCGCGAUCAUCUGUCCAUACGUUUUGCACCUGUUGAAAAUUUCAGUCUUUGGGAAGGAGGCCCCGAAAUUCUUCAUCGAUGUUUUCGAACAGGCAGUAAAGUACAGACGAGACAAUAAAGUUGUCAGGAAUGACUUUCUGGACGUUGUUAUCCAGCUCAUGAACAAAGGCUACAUCGCCAAUGACAAUGAUGAGACUUCACCUCCCUUGGCAGCGUCUGAGGCUUCUUACCCUGAAGAAGAUGUCGAGAAUCGGAAAAUCACGAUGCUAGAGGGAGCGGCACAGGCCUUUGUCUUCUGGAUCGGUGGCUUCGACACGUCGUCAUCGACGGUGACCUUCUGCCUCUACGAGUUGGCGUUGCACCAGGUGUUGCAGGACAAAGUGGCGGAAGAGGUGAACAGAGUUUCGAAAGAAUUCGGGGAACUGUCAUACGAGAGCAUCAGGGCGAUGGUCUAUCUUCACAAAGUCGUCUCUGAGACUCUGAGGAAGUAUCCGGUCGUUCCGAUUCUGAACCGACUGUGCAAUGCAGAUUUUGAGUUUCUGGGAACUGGCCUCCGCGUCGAGAAGAAGACCCCAAUUAUCAUUCCGGUUCUCGGACUCCAUUGGGAUCCCGAACUUUAUCCGGAACCGGAGAACUUCGACCCGGAACGCUUCGACGCGGCGAACAUCGCCCGCAGGCAUCAGUACGCCUACUUGCCGUUUGGGGACGGGCCGAGGAGCUGCAUCGGCAUGAGAUUCGGACUGCUCCAAACAAAAGUUGGCCUUGUCAGCUUACUGUCCAAGUACCGCUUCACUCCUGGACCAGGUCUUCAGAUACCUCUGGUGAUGGACAACGCCAGCUUUGUCCAGGUUCCAGUAAACGGAGUAAAGCUCCGUGUCGAAAUGCGAAGUUCAUAAUCAGUCUGAAACUCGGACACCUUCACUCGUGCCUCAGCCGUCGUGAGUUUGGCAAAUAGCAAGACUAUCAUGCUUAUAGGGCAUUCCAUAACAAAUCACUAGGCUUUUCACUUCACCACUUUUGAUUUGACUGAAAUUUUUUUUGAAUUCCAGCCAAAGUCUCUGCGUUAUGAAUAUUUGAACCUUUUGAUACUAAAUUCAACUUUUUCCCUAAUUCUGAAAAAAAUCCCUACAUAUUGCAUUUUUCAUUGCAACAACUUUAAGAACAACCCUAUGAUCAUUUCAUUGUUCUCGUAAUUUCGAGAACUGAUUUAAAUCGCCAGCGUUUCAAAAAUUUCAAAACAAGUCACAAUUUUAUUGUUCAUCUCUUUUAAGUUGGCCCCAUGAAGGAACCAUUUCUUGUACAUUCUAUCUUUCAAAGUUCUCAAAAUUUCUAUAAUCUUUGAAAUCUCAAAGUUUAAAACAUUGUAAAAAUUCCAAAUUGAUUUAGAAAAAUGAGAAAAAGAAUCACACUAUCAUGAGACCAACCUUAAAGUGAUCGAAACGAGGAAAAAAGAUUCUGAACACCCUUUCAAAAUCCUCAACAAUGUUCAAACUGCCCCCAAAAAUAUACCAAAAUUGAUCUCAUCGUUGGACUCAUCUUUGAACUACUAGAAUGAAAAAUUCAAUUUUUUGAGGAUUUGGCAAAAGGACAAAGUUUGAAAACUGAUUGCAGAUUCAUAACUUGUGGCUGUCCAUAUAAAAAAAAAAAAUUAACAAAAACAAAAUAGGAUCGUUCUGGAAGUGCUACGUAUCAGCUUCAAAAUUCGAUUAUUCCGAGUGGAAUGCCCCCUAUACAUGUAUUUACUGCCUGGCUGUGCCGUUACCCUCUUAUAUUAUAAGCUCGUGAAUCACCACCAGCGUCAGGAGAUCGAUGAGAAGAAUGAGAGGGUGACAGGAGGCAUGAAAUAAGGUAUAAAAAGGGGCUGCAGAGGUGCAAAAGCUAAUUCCCGGAUGACAGAUUGACUCCAGAACGUGACACUGUACCUACAAGUACCAACAUCAUGGAAAGGAGCAUUUAUCUUGUCUGAAAGAAGUUAAAACGUGGGUUUUUCUUCCCUUUUCGUACAACAGGUUCUCUCGUGAUCUGAUCUCUGAUCCACGUGAGAACCGGAGAGUGUUUCCAACGUUAGGCUCAACUCGGGACUUCCUUGAUCUGUAUCAACGCGACAUCGAGCACGUAAUCAUUCGGAAAUUCCUCGGUUAUUCCGGUCCCCCUGACACAUAUCCGAGAUGUGUCCGGCGGGUUUCUGCUCCCUCAUCGCUCGACUCUUUCCAUUCGCUCGCGAGAACUCAUAUUGUAAGAACACGUGUGUUAAGACCAGGGCGAAUGCCGUGGAAUGCUCUCAGGAUCCUCAAAUGUCAAUCGUCGGGCACGGAUUGCUCAAUACCGUACACCUGUAUUCGUAUCACCGUAGCUGAAAACUAACCAAUCGUCAACAAGCAAUCUAUGAGCCUUGUCAGAUAAGAGAACAAACUGUAUUAAACAUAAGAUUUAAUGAGUGAAUCAAAUCGUGUGCAUUCAGUUAUUCAAAUGAAAUAUAACGAAAAAUAGUGAGCUAUGUAAAAUCAAGAAAAUAAAGUGAAUCCAGAAGAACUUUAAUUACUUGUAAUAAUAUUAAUUAUUGAAGUGAAAUUGUUUUCUUGGAUAUAACAAUUUUUUCGGCUGUUCCGUCAAAGACCUCCAUAUCCAAGAAAACAAUUUUACUUCAAUACUUCUGAGGUCAAGAAAAUACUAUUCAUCUUUUCUGUGUUAUUUUUAGCGCUUAGCUGGCUAUAUAAGUAAUUGACGAGAAAUAUUAAUAUUUGGCACGAUUGCAUAGGUUGCUUUAACUCUGGCCCCGAAUUUUUUUACAUUUACUUUGAAAGCUAUUGCGACGGUUCAAAUAUUCCCGCAUAGAGUCGAAAUACUGACUAUGAAAAGAAUCCGACUCAUAGGGUCAGUCACGUGGUGUGCUCCUUUACCAAUUAUCUACGCUUGUUUUUUCAGAAAGUCGUUUUCUCGGUGCCUGACUUGAGAGCACGGCAUGUAAAAUGUACUCUUUUAACGUAUUUGAAAGAUUUUCUGAAACUCAUGUGAAGUUCUAACUGAGUGUUCAUCAAAACGUAUCUUGGAAAAAUAAAGAUCUCGACAAAGAUACAGUCACUAGAAUUUCGGUACCGACAACGAUUAAUAAAUCAAGACGAAGAACAUUAUUCGACAUCAUUAUUCUAUAUCAAUAAUAUUGAAUAUAAGUUCGAAUUUUUAAGAUAAUACGUAAAAGUGUGAGUGAAUAGUCGAUCGAGACUAAUUUUGUAGAAUAAACCCAAAUUAAAGUAAUUCAACGCAUCGUUGGUUCAAGUUAGAGAUUAUAACAUUUAUAUGUACAUAUGAGACACGGAUGGAUUAAUAAACAGUUUAAAAGAUAA
Neodiprion virginianus is the source of this 4336-nucleotide RNA transcript. It is a transcript of the gene named probable cytochrome P450 6a14, with no coding region annotated. The record is from RefSeq and is a predicted model, not a curated record. NCBI's taxonomy places the organism in Eukaryota, Metazoa, Arthropoda, Insecta, Hymenoptera, Diprionidae. The transcript has 8 exons.